GACGAACCGUGCGAACGUUGUUCGGAAUCACUGGGCUUAAAGGGCGCGUAGGCGGGCGGUCAAGUCUGAAGUGAAAUCCUCCAGCUUAACUGGAGAACAGCUUUGGAUACUGGCCGUCUCGAGUGGGGUAGGGGCGUGUGGAACUGUAGGUGGAGCGGUGAAAUGCGUUGAUAUCUACAGGAACUCCGGUGGCGAAAGCGACACGCUGGACCCUUACUGACGCUGAGGCGCGAAAGCCAGGGGAGCAAACGGG
Molecule: ribosomal RNA, 253 nt
Filed under: uncultured Gemmata sp.
Lineage: Bacteria; Pseudomonadati; Planctomycetota; Planctomycetia; Gemmatales; Gemmataceae
Description: partial 16S ribosomal RNA
Rfam family: Bacterial small subunit ribosomal RNA
Source: RNAcentral